AAGGAAAAGUGUGAAAAUUCAAGGAAACAAGUGAAAAAAAGGGGAGAUGCCAAAACUGAUAUUAAAGCCUUCCGAGGUUCUGGUUGGCAUUCCGAGCAAUAAAUGUCUAUUGGGACGUCGAGACGGUUGUUAUGGGCUCGAAGGGAGUACCGGGUCGUGACACGGUUACUCAAGAAUAGGUUUUAAUGUGCAUAAUGAAUGGCAUUAUUAUGAAGAGUUUUAAUGUGAGUAACCGUUAUUGUAAUCCAUUAAAAGUGAAUCUAACAGAGAGGAAGUAGGCAAAAAGGCCGAACCUCUAUAAAAUACUUGUGUCAAUUUUUCUACUCAUCUCUUUACUUGAAAUUCAAAUUUCUUUCAUUGAUCAAGAGGUCAAUUAACUUGUUUA
Non-coding RNA from Theobroma cacao (cacao), 385 nucleotides. NCBI's taxonomy places the organism in Eukaryota, Viridiplantae, Streptophyta, Magnoliopsida, Malvales, Malvaceae. The record is from RefSeq and is a predicted model, not a curated record.